CCUACGGGACGCACCAGUGGGGAAUAUUGGACAAUGGGCGCAAGCCUGAUCCAGCCAUGCCGCGUGAGUGAAGAAGGCCUUAGGGUUGUAAAGCUCUUUCACCGGUGAAGAUGAUGACGGUAACCGGAGAAGAAGCCCCGGCUAACUUCGUGCCAGCAGCCGCGGUAAUACGAAGGGGGCUAGCGUUGUUCGGAAUUACUGGGCGUAAAGCGCGCGUAGGCGGAUAGAUAAGUCAGAGGUGAAAUCCCGGGGCUCAACCCCGGAAUUGCCUUUGAUACUGUUUAUCUUGAGUGCAGAAGAGGUAAGGGGAAUUCCGAGUGUAGAGGUGAAAUUCGUAGAUAUUCGGAGGAACACCAGUGGCGAAGGCGGCUUACUGGUCUGCAACUGACGCUGAGGCGCGAAAGCGUGGGGAGCAAACAGGAUUAGAUACCCGCGUAGUC
RNAcentral lists this ribosomal RNA (440 nucleotides) under uncultured bacterium. RNAcentral describes it as "bacterial SSU rRNA". It matches the Rfam family "Bacterial small subunit ribosomal RNA", at positions 338 to 795 of the family's 1533-position model. The record is from RNAcentral.